UCAACCAAAAAAAAGAGCCGCAUUUUUUGUUACCUUCUCUCUCCCUCUCGUCGCGAAGACUGAAGCCCUUCUUCAGCUCGACGAAGACUGAAGAUACUUCUCCCUCUCUAAGCCGCCUGAAGAAACUCUACCUUCUCCCUCUCACUUCGUCAUAUAUAUCUCCAAAGUCUCCUUCUCUCUUCGCAUCCAACGGCCCCUUCGCUCUUUCAAGUCGAUUCAGUGGCAAGGUAACAAAAUUAGAACUUUGGGUCAUGAUUUUCUUGUUUUAUGGGUUGAAAUCAUGCUUAGAGAGGGUCCAAUUUGUGAUUUGGUGUUCAAUAAUAGCUUUUUAGGGAUUAAAAUUUCUGUUCCUCAAUGGCUAUAAUAUGCAAAAUUACUGUUGGGUUCUGUAUUAUGGAGUUGGGUUUUCUGUACUUGUUCUGUAUUCACCUUUUGUAUUUAGAAGCAUGCAUAUCUUGGUGAAAAGCCAUAUAAGUACUGAAAUUUCUGUAUUAUGGAGUUGAGUUUUAUGUACUGAAUUGUUAAAGCUAAAAAUAAUUUUUACUGCACUAAUUUUAUAUUUUGAAAAAAUCAAUAGCUUUAUUUUAUGUAGUGGCCAUGGAUUACAACUCCGAACAAAGUCAUAUACUAUUUUUUAAGGACAAUUGUUAAAAUCUAGCAUCUUCAUUCAUUGUGCUACACCUAAUCAUUUUUUUAAAUUUAUUAUGGGCAGAAUAGAAGAAAAUGGAUGUCGUGAACCAUGAAAUAGAUAGUUGUGGGGAUAAUGUAGAAAUGGAAAUGGAGAUGGAGAAAAUUGUUUAAAUGUAGAACUGGAGAAUCAAAUGAUGAUGCUACUCAGGAUCCAAGUGUAGCUAAUGAUUAUAGUGAUCCAACAGAGAUUUCUAAAUUCUAGGGUAAUGAUAAUAUUCAUCCAAGUGUAUUAAAUUUAUAUCAAUAUGUAGUGUUUUGGAGUGCGCCAUAAAAUUUAUGAUAUUCAGUCUAAUUUUGAUUGGUUUCUUUAAUUCUAUUUUUUGCAGGUGUAUGACAGCUUUGGACGCAAUUGAUUAUAGCGGUUCACUGGUUCCGGUGAUUGCAUGAAUGCAGACUAUAUGAACUUUGGCCUCAUGAAGUACUCUGUGUCUCGCUUUGUCAACUCCUGUUAUAGAAUGAAUGGCUCCUCAUGAACUUUCUAAGUGGUGAUAUGUAAUAUUAAAUAUUAAUUAUGCAGAUGUAGUACUCAUUCAAGCUGUAUUUCUUGUUGUUUGUUAUAUGUAAUCAAGCAGCCUUCUACUGCCUUCUGUCUACUUCUUGUUUGUUAUAGUUUGUAUUUAAUGAAUUAUUUUCUGGAAA
This 1329-nucleotide long non-coding RNA is filed under the name Panax ginseng (ginseng). Its description in RNAcentral is "long non-coding RNA (PGIN_LNC010266)". Lineage: Eukaryota; Viridiplantae; Streptophyta; Magnoliopsida; Apiales; Araliaceae. The record is from RNAcentral.